AUACGGAGGGCGCAAGCGUUGUUCGGAAUUACUGGGCGUAAAGCGCGUGUAGGCGGUUCGGCAAGUCGGGUGUGAAAGCCCAGGGCUCAACCCUGGAAUUGCAUUCGAAACUGCCGGGCUAGAGUCCCGGAGAGGAAGGCAGAAUUCCCAGUGUAGGGGUGAAAUCCGUAGAUAUUUGGAGGAAUACCAGCGGCGAAGGCGGCCUUCUGGACGGUGACUGACGCUCAGACGCGAAAGCUUGGGGAGCAAACAGGAUUAGAAACCCCUGUAGUCC
RNAcentral lists this ribosomal RNA (274 nucleotides) under uncultured bacterium. RNAcentral's name for it is "partial 16S ribosomal RNA". It matches the Rfam family "Bacterial small subunit ribosomal RNA", at positions 523 to 796 of the family's 1533-position model. The record is from RNAcentral.